RNAcentral lists this ribosomal RNA (124 nucleotides) under Janthinobacterium sp. BJB312. RNAcentral describes it as "partial 16S ribosomal RNA". It matches the Rfam family "Bacterial small subunit ribosomal RNA", at positions 1 to 116 of the family's 1533-position model. The record is from RNAcentral. RNAcentral also lists the same sequence under 3 other names. Lineage: Bacteria; Pseudomonadati; Pseudomonadota; Betaproteobacteria; Burkholderiales; Oxalobacteraceae.
AGAGAUUAAACUGAAGAGUUUGAUCCUGGCUCAGAUUGAACGCUGGCGGCAUGCCUUACACAUGCAAGUCGAACGGCAGCACGGAGCUUGCUCUGGUGGCGAGUGGCGAACGGGUGAGUAAUAU